RNAcentral lists this unclassified non-coding RNA (205 nucleotides) under Hevea brasiliensis (rubber tree). Lineage: Eukaryota; Viridiplantae; Streptophyta; Magnoliopsida; Malpighiales; Euphorbiaceae. The record is from RNAcentral.
GGAUGGCAUUAUCCCAAAGCUUCAACGUGCUGAUUACUACACCGUUCCUUCUAUGGAGGAGUUGCUAUCCAAGGAGAAGGAAGAAGCUGAUUUUUGUUGCCACGUGAAGGACUUUGUGAUAGGAAGACAUGGGUAUGGAAGCAUCAAGUUCUUGGGAGAAACAGAUGUCCGGAAGUUUGACCUUGAUUCUGCUAUCCAGUUCAAU